This 2787-nucleotide ribosomal RNA is filed under the name Escherichia coli. RNAcentral's name for it is "bacterial LSU rRNA". It matches the Rfam family "Bacterial large subunit ribosomal RNA". Lineage: Bacteria; Pseudomonadati; Pseudomonadota; Gammaproteobacteria; Enterobacterales; Enterobacteriaceae. The record is from RNAcentral.
AGCGUACACGGUGGAUGCCCUGGCAGUCAGAGGCGAUGAAGGACGUGCUAAUCUGCGAUAAGCGUCGGUAAGGUGAUAUGAACCGUUAUAACCGGCGAUUUCCGAAUGGGGAAACCCAGUGUGUUUCGACACACUAUCAUUAACUGAAUCCAUAGGUUAAUGAGGCGAACCGGGGGAACUGAAACAUCUAAGUACCCCGAGGAAAAGAAAUCAACCGAGAUUCCCCCAGUAGCGGCGAGCGAACGGGGAGCAGCCCAGAGCCUGAAUCAGUGUGUGUGUUAGUGGAAGCGUCUGGAAAGGCGCGCGAUACAGGGUGACAGCCCCGUACACAAAAAUGCACAUGCUGUGAGCUCGAUGAGUAGGGCGGGACACGUGGUAUCCUGUCUGAAUAUGGGGGGACCAUCCUCCAAGGCUAAAUACUCCUGACUGACCGAUAGUGAACCAGUACCGUGAGGGAAAGGCGAAAAGAACCCCGGCGAGGGGAGUGAAAAAGAACCUGAAACCGUGUACGUACAAGCAGUGGGAGCACGCUUCGGCGUGUGACUGCGUACCUUUUGUAUAAUGGGUCAGCGACUUAUAUUCUGUAGCAAGGUUAACCGAAUAGGGGAGCCGAAGGGAAACCGAGUCUUAACUGGGCGUUAAGUUGCAGGGUAUAGACCCGAAACCCGGUGAUCUAGCCAUGGGCAGGUUGAAGGUUGGGUAACACUAACUGGAGGACCGAACCGACUAAUGUUGAAAAAUUAGCGGAUGACUUGUGGCUGGGGGUGAAAGGCCAAUCAAACCGGGAGAUAGCUGGUUCUCCCCGAAAGCUAUUUAGGUAGCGCCUCGUGAAUUCAUCUCCGGGGGUAGAGCACUGUUUCGGCAAGGGGGUCAUCCCGACUUACCAACCCGAUGCAAACUGCGAAUACCGGAGAAUGUUAUCACGGGAGACACACGGCGGGUGCUAACGUCCGUCGUGAAGAGGGAAACAACCCAGACCGCCAGCUAAGGUCCCAAAGUCAUGGUUAAGUGGGAAACGAUGUGGGAAGGCCCAGACAGCCAGGAUGUUGGCUUAGAAGCAGCCAUCAUUUAAAGAAAGCGUAAUAGCUCACUGGUCGAGUCGGCCUGCGCGGAAGAUGUAACGGGGCUAAACCAUGCACCGAAGCUGCGGCAGCGACGCUUAUGCGUUGUUGGGUAGGGGAGCGUUCUGUAAGCCUGUGAAGGUGUGCUGUGAGGCAUGCUGGAGGUAUCAGAAGUGCGAAUGCUGACAUAAGUAACGAUAAAGCGGGUGAAAAGCCCGCUCGCCGGAAGACCAAGGGUUCCUGUCCAACGUUAAUCGGGGCAGGGUGAGUCGACCCCUAAGGCGAGGCCGAAAGGCGUAGUCGAUGGGAAACAGGUUAAUAUUCCUGUACUUGGUGUUACUGCGAAGGGGGGACGGAGAAGGCUAUGUUGGCCGGGCGACGGUUGUCCCGGUUUAAGCGUGUAGGCUGGUUUUCCAGGCAAAUCCGGAAAAUCAAGGCUGAGGCGUGAUGACGAGGCACUACGGUGCUGAAGCAACAAAUGCCCUGCUUCCAGGAAAAGCCUCUAAGCAUCAGGUAACAUCAAAUCGUACCCCAAACCGACACAGGUGGUCAGGUAGAGAAUACCAAGGCGCUUGAGAGAACUCGGGUGAAGGAACUAGGCAAAAUGGUGCCGUAACUUCGGGAGAAGGCACGCUGAUAUGUAGGUGAAGCGACUUGCUCGUGGAGCUGAAAUCAGUCGAAGAUACCAGCUGGCUGCAACUGUUUAUUAAAAACACAGCACUGUGCAAACACGAAAGUGGACGUAUACGGUGUGACGCCUGCCCGGUGCCGGAAGGUUAAUUGAUGGGGUCAGCGCAAGCGAAGCUCUUGAUCGAAGCCCCGGUAAACGGCGGCCGUAACUAUAACGGUCCUAAGGUAGCGAAAUUCCUUGUCGGGUAAGUUCCGACCUGCACGAAUGGCGUAAUGAUGGCCAGGCUGUCUCCACCCGAGACUCAGUGAAAUUGAACUCGCUGUGAAGAUGCAGUGUACCCGCGGCAAGACGGAAAGACCCCGUGAACCUUUACUAUAGCUUGACACUGAACAUUGAGCCUUGAUGUGUAGGAUAGGUGGGAGGCUUUGAAGUGUGGACGCCAGUCUGCAUGGAGCCGACCUUGAAAUACCACCCUUUAAUGUUUGAUGUUCUAACGUUGACCCGUAAUCCGGGUUGCGGACAGUGUCUGGUGGGUAGUUUGACUGGGGCGGUCUCCUCCUAAAGAGUAACGGAGGAGCACGAAGGUUGGCUAAUCCUGGUCGGACAUCAGGAGGUUAGUGCAAUGGCAUAAGCCAGCUUGACUGCGAGCGUGACGGCGCGAGCAGGUGCGAAAGCAGGUCAUAGUGAUCCGGUGGUUCUGAAUGGAAGGGCCAUCGCUCAACGGAUAAAAGGUACUCCGGGGAUAACAGGCUGAUACCGCCCAAGAGUUCAUAUCGACGGCGGUGUUUGGCACCUCGAUGUCGGCUCAUCACAUCCUGGGGCUGAAGUAGGUCCCAAGGGUAUGGCUGUUCGCCAUUUAAAGUGGUACGCGAGCUGGGUUUAGAACGUCGUGAGACAGUUCGGUCCCUAUCUGCCGUGGGCGCUGGAGAACUGAGGGGGGCUGCUCCUAGUACGAGAGGACCGGAGUGGACGCAUCACUGGUGUUCGGGUUGUCAUGCCAAUGGCACUGCCCGGUAGCUAAAUGCGGAAGAGAUAAGUGCUGAAAGCAUCUAAGCACGAAACUUGCCCCGAGAUGAGUUCUCCCUGACUCCUUGA